RNAcentral lists this ribosomal RNA (481 nucleotides) under uncultured bacterium. RNAcentral's name for it is "bacterial SSU rRNA". It matches the Rfam family "Bacterial small subunit ribosomal RNA", at positions 28 to 521 of the family's 1533-position model. The record is from RNAcentral.
GACGAACGCUGGCGGCGCGCCUAACACAUGCAAGUCGAACGAGCAAAGAGGAGCUUGCUUCUCUGAGCGAGUGGCGAACGGGUGAGUAACGCGUGAGGAACCUGCCUCAAAGAGGGGGACAACAGUUGGAAACGACUGCUAAUACCGCAUAAGUCCACGGGUCGGCAUCGACCAGAGGGAAAAGGAGCAAUCCGCUUUGAGAUGGCCUCGCGUCCGAUUAGCUAGUUGGUGAGGUAACGGCCCACCAAGGCAACGAUCGGUAGCCGGACUGAGAGGUUGAACGGCCACAUUGGGACUGAGACACGGCCCAGACUCCUACGGGAGGCAGCAGUGGGGAAUAUUGCACAAUGGGGGAAACCCUGAUGCAGCGACGCCGCGUGGAGGAAGAAGGGUCUUCGGAUUGUAAACUCCUGUUGUUGAGGAAGAUAAUGACGGUACUCAACAAGGAAGUGACGGCUAACUACGUGCCAGCAGCCGCAGU